AACGAACGCUGGCGGCAGGCCUAACACAUGCAAGUCGAACGUGAAGCCACCUUCGGGUGGUGGAAAGUGGCAGACGGGUGAGUAACACGUGGGAACGUGCCCAGAGGUACGGAACAACUCCGGGAAACUGGAGCUAAUACCGUAUGUGCCCGAGAGGGGAAAGAUUUAUCGCCUCUGGAUCGGCCCGCGUCUGAUUAGCUUGUUGGUGAGGUAACGGCUCACCAAGGCGACGAUCAGUAGCUGGUCUGAGAGGAUGGCCAGCCACACUGGGACUGAGACACGGCCCAGACUCCUACGGGAGGCAGCAGUGGGGAAUAUUGACAAUGGGCGCAAGCCUGAUCCAGCCAUGCCGCGUGAGUGAUGAAGGCCCCUAGGGUUGUAAAGCUCUUUCGGCGGGGAACGAUAAUGACGGUACCCGCAGAAGAAGCCCCGGCUAACUUCGUGCCAGCAGCCGCGGUAAUACGAAGGGGCCUAGCGUUGUUCGGAAUCACUGGGCGUAAAGCGUAUGCAGGCGGAUCGUUAAGGUCGGGGGUGAAAUCCCGAGGCUCAACCUCGGAACUGCCUUCGAUACUGGCGAUCUCGAGUCCGGGAGAGGUGAGUGGAACUGCGAGUGUAGAGGUGAAAUUCGGUAGAUAUUCGCAAGAACACCAGUGGCGAAGGCGGCUCACUGGCCCGGUACUGACGCUGAGAUACGAAAGCGU
RNAcentral lists this ribosomal RNA (701 nucleotides) under uncultured bacterium. Its description in RNAcentral is "bacterial SSU rRNA". It matches the Rfam family "Bacterial small subunit ribosomal RNA", at positions 28 to 762 of the family's 1533-position model. The record is from RNAcentral.